This 1400-nucleotide ribosomal RNA is filed under the name uncultured bacterium. Its description in RNAcentral is "bacterial SSU rRNA". It matches the Rfam family "Bacterial small subunit ribosomal RNA". The record is from RNAcentral.
AGAGUUUCUUUCUGGCUCAGGAUGAACGCUAGCUACAGGCUUAACACAUGCAAGUCGAGGGGAAACGACAUCGAAAGCUUGCUUUUGAUGGGCGUCGACCGGCGCACGGGUGAGUAACGCGUAUCCAACCUGCCCACCACUUGGGGAUAACCUUGCGAAAGUAAGACUAAUACCCAAUGAUAUCUCUAGAAGGCAUCAGAAAGAGAUUAAAGAUUUAUCGGUGAUGGAUGGGGAUGCGUCUGAUUAGCUUGUUGGCGGGGUAACGGCCCACCAAGGCAACGAUCAGUAGGGGUUCUGAGAGGAAGGUCCCCCACAUUGGAACUGAGACACGGUCCAAACUCCUACGGGAGGCAGCAGUGAGGAAUAUUGGUCAAUGGAUGAGAGUCUGAACCAGCCAAGUAGCGUGAAGGAUGACCGCCCUAUGGGUUGUAAACUUCUUUUAUAAAGGAAUAACAGGCGCCACGUGUGGUGCUUUGCAUGUACUUUAUGAAUAAGCAUCGGCUAACUCCGUGCCAGCAGCCGCGGUAAUACGGAGGAUGCGAGCGUUAUCCGGAUUUAUUGGGUUUAAAGGGAGCGCAGACGGGUUUUUAAGUCAGUUGUGAAAGUUCGGGGCUCAACCUUGGAAUUGCAGUUGAAACUGGAGACCUUGAGUGCGGACGCGGCAUGCGGAAUUCGUGGUGCAGCGGUGAAAUGCUUAGAUAUCACAAAGAACUCCGAUUGCGAAGGCAGCAUGCCAGGCCGUAACUGACGUUCAUGCUCGAAAGUGCGGGUAUCAAACAGGAUUAGAUACCCUGGUAGUCCGCACGGUAAACGAUGAAUACCCGCUGUCGGCGAUACAAUGCCGGCGGCUUAGCGAAAGCGUUAAGUAUUCCACCUGGGGAGUACGCCGGCAACGGUGAAACUCAAAGGAAUUGACGGGGGCCCGCACAAGCGGAGGAACAUGUGGUUUAAUUCGAUGAUACGCGAGGAACCUUACCCGGGCUUGAAUUGCAACAGAAUUAUUUGGAAACAGAUAAGCCGCAAGGCUGUUGUGAAGGUGCUGCAUGGUUGUCGUCAGCUCGUGCCGUGAGGUGUCGGCUUAAGUGCCAUAACGAGCGCAACCCCUGCCGGCCGUUGCCAUCAGGUGAUGCUGGGGACUCUGCCGGGACUGCCAUCGUAAGAUGCGAGGAAGGUGGGGAUGACGUCAAAUCAGCACGGCCCUUACGUCCGGGGCCACACACGUGUUACAAUGGGGGGUACAGCAGGCCGCUACCGGGCGACCGGAUGCCAAUCUUUAAAUCCCCUCUCAGUUCGGACUGGAGUCUGCAACCCGACUCCACGAAGCUGGAUUCGCUAGUAAUCGCGCAUCAGCCACGGCGCGGUGAAUACGUUCCCGGGCCUUGCACACACCGCCCGUCAAG